CAAUAUACAACGUUUCAUUAAACUUGUUCUUUACAAUAUUAACUAAUUAUCAUUGUAGUUCAUUCAAACUGUGUCUACAUUUCUUUACUGUGUAUGUGAUGCCUGUCUGGUUAUUGACAUACUGUGGUUGCUUCUUACUCAAUCAUGUCCAACUUAAAAAAAAAUACAUACGAAUACAGUUAAGUUUCGUAUACCUCAUGGAAUACAUUGUACACGUAGAAUAACACCA
This 229-nucleotide long non-coding RNA is filed under the name Mytilus galloprovincialis (Mediterranean mussel). The record is from RNAcentral. Lineage: Eukaryota; Metazoa; Mollusca; Bivalvia; Mytilida; Mytilidae.